RNAcentral lists this ribosomal RNA (468 nucleotides) under uncultured bacterium. RNAcentral's name for it is "partial 16S ribosomal RNA". It matches the Rfam family "Bacterial small subunit ribosomal RNA", at positions 28 to 507 of the family's 1533-position model. The record is from RNAcentral.
GACGAACGCUGGCGGCGUGCUUAACACAUGCAAGUCGAACGGAAAGGCCCUGCUUUUGUGGGGUUCUCGAGUGGCGAACGGGUGCGUAACACGUGAGUAACCUGCCCUUGACUUUGGUAUAACUUCAGGAAACUGGGGCUAAUACCGGAUAGGAGCUCCUGCUGCAUGGUGGGCGUUGGAACGUUUCGGCGGUUGGGGAUGGACUCGCGGCUUAUCAGCUUGUUGGUGGGGUAGUGGCUUACCAAGGCUUUGACGGGUAGCCGGCCUGGGAGGGUGACCGGCGACAUUGGGACUGAGAGACGGACCAGACUGCAACGGGAGGCAGCAGGGGGGAAUAUGGCACAAUGGGCGGAAGUCUGAUGAAGAAACGUUGCGUGCGGGAUGACGGCCUUUGGGUUGUAAACCGCUUUCGCCUGUGACGAAGCGGGAGUGACGGUAAUGGGUAAAGAAGCACCGGCUAACUACGUG